Molecule: transfer RNA, 76 nt
Filed under: Desulfofustis glycolicus DSM 9705
Lineage: Bacteria; Pseudomonadati; Thermodesulfobacteriota; Desulfobulbia; Desulfobulbales; Desulfocapsaceae
Description: tRNA_Pseudo_ACG
Source: RNAcentral
AUAUCCGUAGGUCGAAUGAUAGACCCACACACUACGAAUCCGUAGGUCGGGAGUUCGAAUCUCUCCUGGUGCACCA